UAUUUAGACAUAGAUUAACACAACUUCUCCUUACUAAAUAUCUAAGCAUAAGCCGCUCACAUCAACCAGGCUGCUCUCUGUAAACUGACUGUUGGGUUUGUUUGGCUUUUCUUCUUCGACUGCCUUUACAAGGUUCAGUUGAGCAUAGAAGUUUAUCGCCCUCUACCGUGCAGGAUGAGAAGUUGCUAUAUAUUUUUUUAACAACAGCUGGGUCAAAGAUUCUGUAGUUAACUGCACCUCUCCUCUUAAAAUAAAUGGUAGGCCCUAACUGUUAGUUUUACAAGUGCACACACUAAAUGGAGAGGAUUAACUUAAAAUGCAGACUGCGCCUCUAAAUAGGCGACUUUUUAUAUAUCAGCACUAUUUCCACUAGACUAAUGUUUACCAAGCAUGCCAAAGCUUUGAUCUCUUAGCACUGUCACUUAUGUUUUUUCAUGGUGAGAUGGCCAUCCCGAUACAUUUUGGAUGACAUGGGGCGCAAGGUUCACGCAUUUCUCAUUCUGUACGCUAGAGGACGAUAGGCUUCCAUGCUAAACCGUCUCAAGGCAAUGGCUUGAGUAGAAGUGUAGAAGAAGAAAAGCACAACAAACCACACCGAUCCAUCGAACUACUGCGAAGAUAUAUUGUAGCCUAAGUUUUCACCUAUCCUACAGAAAAAAAAUCGAUUCUGCUGUUGGGAAGAUCACAAGGUUGUCCAUAACCGGAGGAGACUCUGUUAAAAAAACAGUGUUGCGGGUGUGCAGGAAGGUCAUCGGCGCUAAACUAGGCACCCAGUUAAACUGGUGUGGGAGGGGCCAGAAGACGGGCAUCAAAUCACGGCCGAUUCAUGAAAUUCUACUGAUGUCAGUGCUUAAAAACAAAACCCUAUCCAGCGCCACAGAAGCCGAGGUGGAGGCCGCCAUUCAGGCCUGGCUGCGGGUGAGCCUAGACAGGCUUGGAGGAGGGGGGAGAUGCAGACGAGCCCCACCAUAGCGCUCUAGAUUUGACUAGCGCUAACACAAGCAUAAAGGAGGAGACAGUCUGUCAGGAGGAGAAUCUCUGUUGUCUUGGCCUUCAGAUGUAGGCCUGUUGUUGAGAGAGAGAGAGAGAGAGCAAGUUUGUUUGUUCCUGUUUGUUCCUGUGUGUGUGUGUUUUUGCGUAUUUGCCUAUUGUUCUUCUCAUUUUGCAUACUGAUACUGAGUCUGAGUUCUGACAUUAAAGUUUCUUCACUUGAA
Molecule: long non-coding RNA, 1214 nt
Organism: Alosa alosa (allis shad)
Lineage: Eukaryota; Metazoa; Chordata; Actinopteri; Clupeiformes; Clupeidae
Exons: 4
Source: RefSeq, a predicted model, not a curated record